UACGGCCGCAUCACGUUGAAACACCGGUUUCCGUUCGAUCAACGAAGUUAAGCAUCGUCGAGCCUGGCCAGUACCUAGAUGGGUGACCGCUUCGGAAUACCAGCUGUUGUGA
Molecule: non-coding RNA, 112 nt
Organism: Acanthosepion pharaonis
Lineage: Eukaryota; Metazoa; Mollusca; Cephalopoda; Sepiida; Sepiidae
Source: the annotation of a GenBank genome assembly